Molecule: ribosomal RNA, 397 nt
Filed under: uncultured bacterium
Lineage: Bacteria
Description: partial 16S ribosomal RNA
Rfam family: Bacterial small subunit ribosomal RNA
Source: RNAcentral
AUACGUAGGGGGCGAGCGUUGUCCGGAAUGAUUGGGCGUAAAGGGCGCGUAGGCGGCCCGGUAAGUCUGGAGUGAAAGUCCUGUUUUUAAGAUGGGAAUUGCUUUGGAUACUGUCGGGCUUGAGUGCAGGAGAGGUAAGUGGAAUUCCCAGUGUAGCGGUGAAAUGCGUAGAGAUUGGGGGGACCACCAGUGGCGAAGGCGCCUUACUGGAGUGUAACUGACGCUGAGGGGCGAAAGUGUGGGGAGCAAACAGGAUUAGAUACCCUGGUAGUCCACACUGUAAACGAUGAAUGGUAGGUGUAGGGGUUAGCGACCCCUUCUGGGCCGCAGUCAACACAAUAAGCAUUCCGCCUGUGGAGUACGGCCGCAAGGUUGAAACUCAAAGGAAAUGACGGGG